Prunus avium (sweet cherry) is the source of this 2815-nucleotide non-coding RNA. The record is from RefSeq and is a predicted model, not a curated record. NCBI's taxonomy places the organism in Eukaryota, Viridiplantae, Streptophyta, Magnoliopsida, Rosales, Rosaceae.
CUUCUCUCCCUCGUGCAGCUCUCUCUUCGCGCUCUCUUCCUCUCUCAGCGCUUUCUUUCUCCAUCGUCACUCCACGACCAUCACCACUCUCUUUUUCCCUCUGUCGCGAAAACCUAAGCAUCACUCUCUCUCUCUCUCUCUCUCUCUCUCUCUCUCUCUGUGCAGUCGAUGUUAGGGUUUGUUGAGAGGGUUCUUGAAGGCCAAUCUCUGCGUCCCUCAGCUGCCCGGCCAAGGCUGUUCCUUCCACAGCUUCCGCACCAAUACCUACAAGCUUACUUUCAUGGAAUCCCCUUCUGGCAUUAAGAUAUCUUGGUUACUCAUCCCAGGACCGGCGACUUGCGUGAAUCUUUGAAGUACAUUUACAACUUGUAUGUGGAAUAUGUCGUGAAGAACCCGCUCUACACUUCUGGAACUCCAAUCAGGUAACUGGUUCAGUUUCGAUUAUCGUAAUGUAGUAAAUGAUCAAUCUUCAUAGUAACAAGUUUCAUCUCCAAUCAGGUAACUUGUUAGUAUUUUGUGAACUCUGUUUGUUAGAACCUGCCUACUUUUCUUUUCCUUGUAUAUAUAGUUCUAUUGAAUUAAUUUACUGGUGGCUUAUCCAUCUUUGAUUAGAGUUAAAUAUAUUGUGAGUGGAGAUAUAGAAGAGUGUAGGAUGUGGAAGGGUUUGAGACCAGGGGUAGUUUUCAAGAGGCUACCUGCUCUGUCCCUCAAGAUCUCAACCAACUGCAACUUAAUACCUCAGGAAAGCAGAGGUCAAGGCAAGGGUUAAAAUCCAUGGCAAACUUUGUUAUUUUAAAAAUAUUAUUUGGACUUAACAGUGUUAAGGGAGAAUAACAUUUAUUUGGAGUUUGACAUGUCAUAUUAUAGGUCUUUAUAUUAUUAGAAAGAUUUAAAUGUAACGAAAUGCGGGUAAAUGCAUGAUUAUUAUGCACAUGCUCAAAAUCUUGAACAAGAUACCUAUUUAUCAUGUAGUGAAAGAAAACGAGUCACCGUUAAAGAUAAGAAGUUAACCUGAAGGUUCGUACCCUUUAAGGUGGAAGCAAGCUAGGAAAAGUGAGUUCCCACUUGGGGUUUGAAAAUGAAGAUGAAAAAGACCGUGUUAAUGUUGCUGAGAUAAUAUGGUUUCUUCUGUUGUUGAGAUAAACAACUCAGAAAAUACAUAUGAAUGUCCAGAUGAAGCACAUGCGGGUCAGAACCCACAUGACAUGAAAGCAACUCUGUAAUUAUUAUUUUUUUAUAUAGCAGUUUAUAUCAAUUGCAAAUAAUAGUAAAACUCCACCCAAUUUUGAGUUCCCUUGCUCUUGGGUAGUUCUACUUUUCUCUUGCCCACCCAAUUCCUCAUUUGGGUGGCCUUUACUCUUCAAAUUGGUGAGGUUGAAGGCCAAGGAAAGAGCAAAAAUCCAAUUCUAAUUAAAUGAAAAAAAUUGCAAUGCAGCUUCCAAAAGUCCAAUUUUGAGUUCCCUUGCUCUUGGCUAGUUCUACGCUUCUCUUGCCCACCCAAUUCCUCAUCUGGGUAGCCUCUACUCUUCAAAUUGGUGAGGUUGAAGGCCAAGGAAAUUAUAAAAUGCAAUGCAAUUCAAAACCAAAACCAAUAAAAUCAAAAAAUCAAAUUAUGAAAUGCAAUGCAACACCUAGUAAACAACAUCCCAAAACAAUUAAAAACCAAAAACUACAUUACUGCAACUAGUAAGAUUUUCAACAAUUUGAAUCACAUAAAGACCUUGCAAAAUAGGAAAAUUGACAUGAUACUUGACCACAUUGUCAAAGAGCAUAAAGCCCGCAAGGAGGAAGCCGAGACUACAGGCAAGGACACAUCAAAUGAUCUAUUAGGUGUCUUUUUGAAUCUGCAGGAGCAUGGUGAGCUUGAAGUUUUUUUAACAAUGAAGAAUAUCAAAGCGGUUCUCCUAUCGAUGUUAGGGUUUGUUGAGAGGGUUCUUGAAGGCCAAUCUCUGAGUCCCUCAGCUGCCCAGCCAAGGCUGUUCCUUCCACAGCUUCCGCACCAAUACCUACAAGCUUACUUUCAUGGAAUCCCCUUCUGGCAUUAAGAUUAUCUUGGUUACUCAUCCCAGGACCAGCGACUUGCGUGAAUCUUUGUUUUGUGUUUAAUGUGCUGCUUCAGGUAACUUGUUAUUGUUAGUAUUUUGUUAGAACCUACCUACUUUUCUUUUCCUUGUAUAUAUAGUUCUAUUGAAUUAGUUGACUGGUGGCUUAUCCAUCUUUGAUUAGAGUUAAAUAUAUAGUGAGUGGAGAUAUAGAAGAGUGUAGGGGUAGUAUUCAAGAGGCUACCUGCUCUGUCCCUCAAGAUCUCAACCAAUUGCAACUUAAUACCUCAGGUCCGCUUCUCUUAGCUUUCUGGGAUUCUUCUUUUAUUGUUUUUUUUCAAUUGUUCAUUAUUUGCAGGGGUAGCUUCUGAAGUAGAUGUAUAUCUUGUGAAUGAGCUCAAGUUUAAUAUUCGUGUUUAUACAUCUGUUAGUGGUUGUGUUUUGUGGAAAUAUAUAUUUGGCUUAAUGUUUCUUCUUUUUCCUUCAUUGUUACAGAGUUCCAUGCAUAUCUGGCUUAAUGUUUCUUCUUUUUCCUUCAUUCUUCCCAAUUGAUCGCAAGUGAUCUUUCAUGUUCCUGUUGUAAAAGCCCUUCUCUUCCCUGGUGCUGUUGCAAAUGGUGCACCACGAAAUUACCAGACCUUCUAAGCUUAAUGUUCAUAUAUAGAAGGAACCUAGCCUAGGGAGACAACAUUGCACGUUUAACAGAAUUGAAACACAAUUAAAUUACUCACGCUUGUAACUAUCUGUUUUGAUAAACAUCAAAUUUUAUCUUC